RNAcentral lists this ribosomal RNA (517 nucleotides) under uncultured bacterium. RNAcentral's name for it is "bacterial SSU rRNA". It matches the Rfam family "Bacterial small subunit ribosomal RNA", at positions 370 to 886 of the family's 1533-position model. The record is from RNAcentral.
AAUGGCCGAAAGGCUGACGCAGCGACGCCGCGUGUGGGAGGAAGCUCUUCGGGGUGUAAACCACUGUUGCCCGGGACGAACGAUGAGCAUUGGCUCAUGUGACGGUACCGGGUGAGGAAGCACCGGCUAACUCUGUGCCAGCAGCCGCGGUAAUACAGAGGGUGCGAGCGUUGUCCGGAAUCACUGGGCGUAAAGGGCGCGUAGGCGGCUCGGUAAGGUUGCGGUGAAAGCCCGGGGCUCAACCCCGGGUCGGCCGUGGCAACUGCUGGGCUGGAGCACUGUAGAGGCAGGUGGAAUUCCGGGUGUAGCGGUGGAAUGCGUAGAGAUCCGGAAGAACACCGGUGGCGAAGGCGGCCUGCUGGGCAGUAGCUGACGCUGAUGCGCGACAGCGUGGGGAGCAAACAGGAUUAGAUACCCUGGUAGUCCACGCCGUAAACGAUGGGCACUAGAUGCUUGGGGGAGCGACCCUCCGAGUGUCGGCGCUAACGCAUUAAGUGCCCCGCCUGGGGAGUACGGC